This 1368-nucleotide ribosomal RNA is filed under the name uncultured bacterium. RNAcentral's name for it is "bacterial SSU rRNA". It matches the Rfam family "Bacterial small subunit ribosomal RNA". The record is from RNAcentral.
GAGUUUGAUCCUGGCUCAGGACGAACGCUGGCGGCGCGCCUAACACAUGCAAGUCGAACGAGCGAGAGAGAGCUUGCUUUCUCGAGCGAGUGGCGAACGGGUGAGUAACGCGUGAGGAACCUGCCUCAAAGAGGGGGACAACAGUUGGAAACGACUGCUAAUACCGCAUAAGCCCACAGCUCGGCAUCGAGCAGAGGGAAAAGGAGCAAUCCGCUUUGAGAUGGCCUCGCGUCCGAUUAGCUAGUUGGUGAGGUAAUGGCCCACCAAGGCGACGAUCGGUAGCCGGACUGAGAGGUUGAACGGCCACAUUGGGACUGAGACACGGCCCAGACUCCUACGGGAGGCAGCAGUGGGGAAUAUUGCACAAUGGGGGAAACCCUGAUGCAGCGACGCCGCGUGGAGGAAGAAGGUCUUCGGAUUGUAAACUCCUGUUGUUGAGGAAGAUAAUGACGGUUCUCAACAAGGAAGUGACGGCUAACUACGUGCCAGCAGCCGCGGUAAAACGUAGGUCACAAGCGUUGUCCGGAAUUACUGGGUGUAAAGGGAGCGCAGGCGGGAAGACAAGUUGGAGGUGAAAUCUAUGGGCUCAACCCAUAAACUGCUUUCAAAACUGUUUUUCUUGAGUAGUGCAGAGGUAGGCGGAAUUCCCGGUGUAGCGGUGGAAUGCGUAGAUAUCGGGAGGAACACCAGUGGCGAAGGCGGCCUACUGGGCACCAACUGACGCUGAGGCUCGAAAGUGUGGGUAGCAAACAGGAUUAGAUACCCUGGUAGUCCACACCGUAAACGAUGAUUACUAGGUGUUGGAGGAUUGACCCCUUCAGUGCCGCAGUUAACACAAUAAGUAAUCCACCUGGGGAGUACGACCGCAAGGUUGAAACUCAAAGGAAUUGACGGGGGCCCGCACAAGCAGUGGAGUAUGUGGUUUAAUUCGACGCAACGCGAAGAACCUUACCAAGUCUUGACAUCCUGCGACGGACAUAGAAAUAUGUCUUUCCUUCGGGACGCAGAGACAGGUGGUGCAUGGUUGUCGUCAGCUCGUGUCGUGAGAUGUUGGGUUAAGUCCCGCAACGAGCGCAACCCUUACUGUCAGUUACUACGCAAGAGGACUCUGGCAGGACUGCCGUUGACAAAACGGAGGAAGGUGGGGAUGACGUCAAAUCAUCAUGCCCUUUAUGACUUGGGCUACACACGUACUACAAUGGCGUUAAACAAAGAGAAGCAAGACCGCGAGGUGGAGCAAAACUCAGAAACAACGUCCCAGUUCGGACUGCAGGCUGCAACUCGCCUGCACGAAGUCGGAAUUGCUAGUAAUCGUGGAUCAGCAUGCCACGGUGAAUACGUUCCCGGGCCUUGUACACACCGCCCGUC